Molecule: non-coding RNA, 73 nt
Organism: Dipodomys ordii (Ord's kangaroo rat)
Lineage: Eukaryota; Metazoa; Chordata; Mammalia; Rodentia; Heteromyidae
Source: Rfam
GGGAAGGUGGCUCAGAGGUAGAGUGCUUGCCUUGCAAGUAUGACUCCCUGGGUUCAAUUCCUCAGCACUACUU